Molecule: non-coding RNA, 29 nt
Filed under: Mus musculus (house mouse)
Lineage: Eukaryota; Metazoa; Chordata; Mammalia; Rodentia; Muridae
Source: RNAcentral
UGGCAUGGAACUUGAAAGUUGAAUUCAGA